GUGAUUGCAAAUGGAAUCCCAAACAACGGAUAACUUAUUUAGCAUAAACAUGUCUUUGCAAUCCCAUGAUGCUUCAACUCUACCUAUAAUGAUUGCAAAAUGAAAUAGGCGAAAUCAUAUUUAAACCUUACCGGAGUUCCAAUCGCCAUCUCGGGAGUCGGCGUCUAGGUCUUCGCGGGAACUAUCGUCGCCAUCGACCAACAUUUGGAACCCUAGAUAACCAUCGCUGUUGUCAGCGUGGUUGUCUCCUUCGUCUCUGUUGCUGAAUAUCAAGAACACGAACUUGCCACAAAAACACCUAAUCUCGUCGAUCACUUUCUGUUAACUCCGAUUAGAGAUGAUGGGUUGUUGUGGCUUAGGGUUUCUUCAAUUAAACACCAACAUCACCGCUUAGCUCCUCCGAUUUACACCUACAACUCAAGAAUCUUCGUUAUUGUUGGUUACACCAUAGUAGAUGGCCGGCGAGACUGCCGUGAACAUUGCCAGAAACCCCUCGUCUCUCCUGGUCACUCUCUCUUUAUUCAUUGUGCAAGAACCCCUCUUCUCUUUCUUGGUUGUCUACCCUCAGAAACUUAGGAACUUAUGUGGUCACACUUGAAAACCAAAAAACUUGUGUGGCGCAAACCCCGGAUGAUAAUUUUUUUUUUUUUGAACGGCAAAUUUGGAUCACUGACGGAUCACUAGAGUAUCAUCAUACCACCAGUAGAACCACCCGAUCAUAUCCAUCUCCACUAGGCAAUGAUGCCUGUACACCAAUUCAGGAGGAAACCCAAUAAAUCUGGAAAAAACCCCCCUUUGUGGGAAUCGAACCCAUGACCUAAUGGUCAUAAGCCUUAUCCCACCAUCAAGAUACCACUAGGCUAUAAUGCCAUUGGUACCCCGGAUGAUAAUUGAUAUAUAUAAUAAUUAAAGAAACAACAAUUAAACUCAUUUUUUAAUACAACCCUCGUAUUAUUUAGAAUAAAAUAUUAUAAAAAGAAUUCAUUCUUUAAAUAAUUGAUUUUUCCUCUCAGAAUCACUCUUAAUAAAUAUUUUCAUAUAUGUGUAAAUACUAUAAAUUUACACAUGUAUAAAUGGCAAAGUUACACAUUAGUUAUUUAGGAAAAUAUGUGUGAAUUUAAACGUCUAAGUUUUUGUUAAAAUAUUGUAUUCAAAAUAUAAUAACAAAUGUAUAUAUAUAACUUUUAAUUUGAAUGUGUUUUUUUUUUUUUACCAAAUAUAGGCAUUCACAUUUUAAACUUACUCUAUUGUUAUAUUAUAAUAAAAUUAUAAUUCUUAUAUCUCUUUGGCAGAUGUAUAAAUCCAUACAAUAAUUAUCUAUAUAUAAAUUGAAAAUUUGUUAUGUUAUGAUUUAAUUUUUUACAUAUAAUCUAUCUAUACUUUCUAUAAAAGGAGAAAUCCAAGUGACAUAAGAAAAGCUGAUGUGUCAGUUUGAGAGCAUGUCCAACAAGGCUUUUCUUAUGUCAUCUGCAAUGAGGUGGCAGCAAUAGAGGAAGCAUAGUGACAUCAUAAUUUCAAAGAUCUGCCAUCCAAACCACUGCCCCGACUUUUAAUUUCAAAGGUCUAGACCACAUUCAAUUAUGAAACCACUGAUGUUCAUUGAAAUUUCAAACGACUGAUGCUCAUUGAAAUGGGAGGGUAAUUUGAAAUUUAAAAAUUCAUAGGGAUAUGUAAUUUGCAUUUAAUGUCAUCAGAGCUUCAAUUCUUCUCUCCCUCAAAUAUAAAUUUAAACCCAAAUUCAAAGUCGAUCAUAAUUUCAAAAACCCAUUUCAAUCUCUCUGUCUACUCUCUCUCAACUCUCUAUUUCUAAAACUGUAGAUAUAGAGAAGAGGAUGAAGACGAGAGAGGCGUUGCAUUUAUCAUCGAUUUCAAUGGUAGUUUAAAAAUAGAUAUUUUUUGAUUUUUUUCCAUUUAUCAUGAACUGAAAGUUUGUAUGCUAAAUGUUCUUCAGGUAGAUCUUGUUGGAUUUGUUAUUUGGUGUUGAAGUCUUGAGUUCGUUGGUCGAGCUUCCGAAUGUGAUCAAGGUUAUAAAAUGGAUCUCAACUUUAUUGAUGAAGAGGUAGAUCUUGCUGGAUUUGUUAUUUGGUGUUGAAGUCCUAAGUUCGUUGGCCUAGCUUCCGAAUGUGAUCAAGGUAGAUCUUGCUGGAUUUGUUAUUUGGUGUUGAAGUCCUAAGUUCGUUGGCCAAGCUUCUGAAUGUGAUCAAGAUGCUUGCAUUGGUGUAUGAAUGCUGCUAAAGAGGAAGCACUUAUGUACCUAAGGCCUGAUCAACCAAAGGAAAACCACUGCUCAGUAACAGCACUGCUCAACCAAAGCACAUAUUGUUAUUAUAUUAUCGUCUGUUAAUCGUGGUCUAUUAAAGCACUGCUCUUAAACAUUCUCUGUUGAACUGCAUCAUCUGUUAGUACAUAGGAGAGGUUCUCUUUGGCAGACCUUUUCUUGAACCGGAGCGGUAUUUAUUAGCAGAUGUUCAUCAUGAGGCGUGUGUAAACAGAUGUUUGAAAUCCUCUGUUGAAGUGUAUCACUGUUAAGUCACAGCAGAUGUUAGCAAUUUAUACUGUGGAAUGAUCAGCAGAUGUUAUGUUUUGUAGACUGAUGUCUGUCGUUAAGGACAUGCAAAAACCAACUAAACCAGUAGAUAGGGUAAGUCGGAUAUCGAACCAGAGGAGGAUUGUGGAAAGUGUUGUAAUGAAAAGUAUUAAUUAACUACUAUAAAAAAAAUAAAACUUUGUUGUGAGUUGAUU
This 2742-nucleotide long non-coding RNA is filed under the name Helianthus annuus (common sunflower). Its description in RNAcentral is "hypothetical non coding rna". Lineage: Eukaryota; Viridiplantae; Streptophyta; Magnoliopsida; Asterales; Asteraceae. The record is from RNAcentral.